Alligator sinensis (Chinese alligator) is the source of this 337-nucleotide long non-coding RNA. RefSeq lists it as uncharacterized. The transcript is spliced from 3 exons. Lineage: Eukaryota; Metazoa; Chordata; Crocodylia; Alligatoridae. The record is from RefSeq and is a predicted model, not a curated record.
AUUAUAAAAACCCUGGACUUGGCUGCAGUUGGAGACAGUGGGCAAAGGGGAAGGAGGUUGUGCAUGUGAGCUCCACAGAGAGGCUUGGCUGCUGGUCUGGCUGCUGUGAGAAGGGAACUCAUGAUGACUCUCAGAGAAGCAGUGGUAGUGUCAGAGGGGGGAGUGUCACAGACAGUGGGAAAGCAGAAGCACCAAGCCACAAAGAAAUAACCACAACCAAAAGUCAAGGGGCAGGACACUGCCUUCCAGACCCGAUGCCCAGGAUGUGCAGCGUCCUGGGUGAUAUUUAGAAAACUUUCAUGGGCAGAACUCGUGGCAACCUGUAAUGAAUGAAGAC